Molecule: long non-coding RNA, 22682 nt
Filed under: Triticum aestivum (bread wheat)
Lineage: Eukaryota; Viridiplantae; Streptophyta; Magnoliopsida; Poales; Poaceae
Description: long non-coding RNA (TAES_LNC020757)
Source: RNAcentral
UUUUUUUCUUAAGGUUUAUCAAACACACAAGAAGAAAGCUAGAAAAAGAAAUUAAACUAGCAUGGAUAAUACAAUGAAAGAGUAUGAGCACCGACAACUAGAAUAGUGUGUGAACAUGAAUGUAAAGUCCGUGAGAAAUACGUACUCCCCCAAGCUUAGGAUUUUGGCUGUGACGCCCGGGUACUUAAGCUACAGUGAACCUCUACUAACGACGCCACGUCACCUCGGUUACCAUUGAUAAACUCGCGUUGAUUCGAAACCGAAGCAAAUUCAAAUCAAUAAUCAGGUCAAACAAUAAAAAAUUUGCCAAUAUCAAAACUGAAAUGUUCUGGAUAUGACAAGUAAUUCAUAGGUAAUAAUGGUGGAGAAACCACAUUUUUAUAAAAUGCCUAAAUGCUCUAAAAUAAAUAAAACAGCAGCAAAAACAAUUAAUUAAAUGCCUUUUAUAAAGUUAUAAAAAUAUAAACUUAUAUUUGGAGUGUCAACCUUUUUGUGACAGCACCUAUUAUUGCAAUACUAAUUAGGUGUCCAUCUCCACAUUUUACAAAACAAAUUUGCUAAUUGGAUUAAGUGCAAAACAUAGACUAGAAAAAGUUAAAAGAAGAAAAAGGAAAUGCCAAAAAAUAAAAUAAAUAAAUAAAAGAAAACCCCCCUUUCCCUGUUCUCGUGGGCCUCGGCCCACCCGAGCCAACCCACACAACUGAGGGGAUAAGGCCAACCCCCCGUCUCUCAGCCUCGUCAGCAUCUCAGAUAUUUUCCCUCCCCCUCGCUCGUUCCCCUCUCGCUCGCGCGCUCGCUCCUCCCCGAACGCUGCAGUCGCCGUGCACCCCGAGAUCCUGUGGCCACCGUCGCCCUCAUGCCGUGAGGGGUUGACCCCGAGAAGCGCCGUCGUCUACCGCAUCGUCUACAAGGACUAGCUCGAGCUCCUCGCCCCUGCAUCGAGCUGUUCGCCGUCGUCUUCAACCUUGCACCCGUCGGCGACCUCCGUCGGAUUCGUCGUCACCGAGCCCUCCUCGAGCACACUCGGCUUCUCUCCGAGUCCGAUGUGAGCCCCACCGUCCUUCCCCUCCCUUUUCUGCUAUCGUAUUCCUCGCCGUAGAACCGUCCCCGCCCGAGGCCGCCAUGGACGGGAGCGAAGCUCCUGUGUGCGCCCGCGCGAUGUUGCUGCUGCUGUCGCCAGGCCAUGCCUCGCCUCUGGUCGCGCCCCUCGCUGACCAUCGAUUCCCCGCGCGCCGGCAAGCCCUCUAGCCGCCUGCUACCUUCACCUCUGCUGCCGCCGCUACUUCUGCUCCGCGUGCUGCCGUCUCUGCUAUGGCCCCGCUGCCGCGCGUCGUCCGCCCUGGCUCCGUCCGGCGCGCCCGCCCCAGCUCCGUCCGACGCGCCCGCCUCAGGCCUCCAUGCCGCCUACCCUGCUCGCCGGUGGCGGCGCUGGCCAAGUCCAGCCGCGGCUGGCAAGAGCCACCACCGAGUCGGGCCAGCCCCUGAUUAGUUUAGGGCUUAAUCCCCCUUCCCCACUAAUCUGUUGCUAACAACCGAGACCCACCACUAAUAAAAACUAAUUAAAUCCAUUUGUUAAAAUAAUGUGACCCAAUGACAGGUAGCCCCCACCUCUAAAUAUCUUUUUUUAAGAAUGUGUUAAAACUGUAAGUAUGACACCUGGGCCCCCACUGGCCCGCUUUGACCAGUCAACUGGGACUGUUGACUGGUGACUCAGCAGUCAACAGGCCCCACCUAUCAUAGACACCCACACACUGCUGGGUACACUUACGUGUACCCAUAGCAGUUAUGUAUUUAAUAUUUUUAAAUUAAAAAGAAUUCCAGGAAUUGCAGAAUAUUAAUAAAACUUCAAAAAUUAAUAUAAAAUAAACCGUAUCUCGGAUGAAAAAGUUUUAUAUAUGAAAGUUGCUCUAAACAACGAGACGAAUCCGGAUACGCGGUCCAUUCGUCCGCCACACCCCCCUAACCUAUCGAACCCGCAACUUUCCCCCUCCGGCUCCUCUGCCCGAAAACAUGAAACACCGGGAAUACUUUCCCGGAUGAUUCCCCCCUUAACCAGUACCACCUCAUACCGCGCUAGAACACGUCUAGCUCUGCUUGUUGACCUGUUAUGCACUUGCUUGCUAUGUAUUUACUGUUUCUCCCCCCUCUUCUCUCCGGUAGCCCCCGUGACGAUGCUGAUGCCCCUGUGGACGACUACGUCACCGACGACCCCUCUCUCUUGCCAGAGCAACCAGGCAAGCCUCCCCUUUGAUCACCAGAUAUCGCCUACUCUUCUCUAUACUGCUUGCAUUAGAGUAGUGUAGCAUGUUACUGCCUUCAGUUAAUCCUAUACUGCUGCAUAGCAUGUCCUUGCUACUACUGUUGUUACCUUUACCUGCUAUCCUACUGCUUAGUAUAGGAUGCUAGUGUUCCAUCAGUGGCCCUACACUCUUGUCCGUCUGCCAUGCUAUACUACUGGGCUGUGAUCACUUCGGGAGGUGAUCACGGGCAUAUACUAUAUACUUUACACUGUUACAUUACCUGUGAUACUGUUCGGAGUUGGGGGCUGAAAGGACAGGUGGCUCCAUCCCGGUAGAGGUGGGCCUGGGUUCCCGACGGCCCCCGACUGUUACUUUGUGGCGGAGCGGGAGGGCAGGUUGAGACCACCUAGGAGACAGGUGGGCCUGGCCCUGUUCGGCGUUCGCGGAUACUUAACACGCUUAACGAGAUCUUGGUAUUUGAUCUGAGUCGGCUACGAGCCUAUACGCACUAACCAUCUACGUGGGAGUAGUUAUGGGUAUCCCGACGUCGUGGUAUCAGCCGAAGCACUUCAGACGUCAGCGACGGAGCGGCGCGCGCCGAAUUGGAACGUAAGCCUGCUCUUGUAUUAAGGGGGCUAGUUCUGCUUUCGGCCGCGUACGCAACGUGCAGGUGUGCUAUGGGCGAUGGGCCCAGACCCCUGUGCGCUUAGGUUUAGACCGGCGUGCUGGCCUCUCUGUUUUGCCUAGGUGGGGCUGCGACGUGUUGAUCUUCCGAGGCCGGGCAUGACCCAAGAAAGUGUGUCCGGCCAAAUGGGAUCGAGCGUGUUGGGCUAUGUGGUGCACCCCUGCAGGGAAGUUAAUCUAUUCGAAUAGCCGUGAUCUUCGGUAACAGGACGACUUGGAGUUGUACCUUGACCUUAUGACAACUAGAACCGGAUACUUAAUAAAACACACCCUUCCAAGUUCCACAGACAAUCCGGUGAUCGCUUUUCCGCAGGGUGACGAGGAGAGGAUUGCCGGGUAGGAUUAUGCUAUGCGAUGCUACUGGAGAUGCUACUUGGAGAUGCUACUUGGAGAUGCUACUUGGGGGACUCAAUCUACUCUCUUCUACAUGCUGCAAGACGGAGGCUACCAGAAGCGUAGUCUUCGACAGGAUUAGCUAUCCCCCUCUUAUUCUGGCAUUCUGCAGUUCAGUCCACCGAUAUGGCCCUUUACACAUAUACCCAUGCAUAUGUAGUGUAGCUCCUUGCUUGCGAGUACUUUAGAUGAGUACUCACGGUUGCUUUUCUCCCUCUUUUCCCCUUUCCCUUCUACCUGGUUGUCGCAACCAGAUGCUGGAGCCCUGGAGCCAGACGCCACCAUCGACGAUGAUUCCUACUACACUGGAGGUGCCUACUACUACGUGCAGGCCGCUGACGACGACCAGGAGUAGUUAGGAGGAUCCCAGGCAGGAGGCCUACGCCUCUUUCGAUCUGUAUCCCAGUUUGUGCUAGCCAUCUUAUGGCAACUUGUUUAACUUAUGUCUGUACUCAGAUAUUGUUGCUUCCGCUGACUCGUCUAUGAUCGAGCACUUGAAUUCGAGCCCUCGAGGCCCCUGGCUUGUAUUAUGAUGCUUGUAUGACUUAUUUUAUUUGUAAAGUUGUGUUGUGAUAUCUUCCCGUGAGUCCCUGAUCUUGAUCGUACACCUUUGCGUGUAUGAUUAGUGUACGGUCAAAUCGGGGGUGUCACAAGUUGGUAUCAGAGCCGACUGCCUGUAGGAAUCCCCCUUUCCAACUCCUUGGCCGAAGUCGAGUCUAGUCGUUGAAAAACUUUUACUAACAUGGCUGUGUGGCCCAUGGGCCCACGUCGCCAUCGGGAGGUAUUAGGAUCUUUUAUUCCUCGACCUUUACUCUGGGAUUCUGAACCCUCUUCUAUUCGGGUUAAACGAUUUUUACUAAAAACUAACUUUAGGUUCUCGAAAAUACUUUCUCCCGGAGAGCCCCUUCAGUCCAGAUGGUCACCGACUGCACCAGAAGAUUUCGGAGAUACUCUUUGAUAUUCUCUCGAGACUUGUGCCCAUCACUUUUGCUAUUCCCGACCACCGAUAAAUCCUUAUGGAUAACUACUUACACUUGCCAUUCUUACUAUCAUUCCCCAUUGUUCUUGUUAUUACAAGAUACCCGAAGUUUUCUCUAUUGUUCCGAGAAUACUUCGUGCCUACUGCCUAGCAGUUCUUUGCCACCUGAAUACCCCUAAGAAUAACUUCUCGCACCUUCCGAGUAUCCGCUCAUCCCAGUUGUUCAGGUGUUUCACAAAAGUCUUUGAAAUACUAUUCAAUCCUCCGAAAAUCCUUAGCAGCUUUAUUGCUCUGCAAAUACUUGUCUACUAGCAUUAUGGAUGCUUCCCAUAUAUCUGGCAAUAUUCACUAGUAUCUUUUGACACCGUCAUUUUGAUCCUAUUGAUUCAACAUGUGUGCGAAUGCACACAAUCAUCUAUCAACCCUUCUAACUUAUCUUUCCGAAUGAGACAUCAUUUUUGAACAUGAGCUGGUUCUCGACCAAACUAUUUGUCGCCAAUUGUGCCUCUGGUUUAUCCAACUUAUCCAUCCUUGGUCAGAGCGACUGCUUCUGAUCUUUUGUUUUGGAAAUCAUAAUUCCUUUGUUAUCUAAGCAUCGAAUUAUUCCGAUGUUCUAUAAUAUGAUGCCCGUGCAUUCUUUCUGGAAUACCGAUACUCACCUCAACUCCGUUGUGGAUUGCCCGAUCCAUUGUUGGAUUGCUAUCCGACAGUGUCCUUCAUAUUCAAUCACCUUGUGAGUUCUUCCCCUGAUACAUAGUGCCUUUGGUAAAUUGUAUCAUCUGCUUGGCCAACCAUGCUCUGCUUUCGAGCUGGUGGUAUUUACUAUUGAAGUUUGUGGUAUAUGUUCCUAAGAUGCCCUGAUGGGUUGAACCUACGCCUUCCCUAAUCCGUGUGAACCCGAAAGAUUACACGGGUCAUAUUUAUCUGGUAUUGCACCAGGUAAAAAAAACACUUUCAACAACUAAUGUCAUUUUCGAAAUACGAGAGGUGAAUGAAAGGUUAGGCAUUGAAGAAGUGGGAGUCGACCUUGAACUUUGUGUUCAUGCCCAUGGACAUGAUGUAGAUCAUAUCAUUAAAGCUUCUCUUAAAUUAAUUAUUCCCUUGGUAUAAGUUCUUAUAUCUGGGAUUUGGCCUAUUGCAAUCGUGGUUCCAACCAUGAUCUCCUUGAAAUACCAUUUCUCGUGCAAGUUUAAGCACUUACCUUCUUUAGAGCAAUACCCUAGUCUAAGCUCUACUUUGGACUAUCGUCGAGUAUUACCCCCGGUAUCUCGAGAUUAUCUUGGAACUGCAUAACUCCUUAUGAGUUCUUCAUCAAGUACUACAUUCUCACUGAUUACAAUUUUUCAUGGGCUCUGAGUUAUUAAACACUCAGAGACAUCGAUAACUGAACCGAGUCCGCACUACGGUUCAACAACUCUCAGUAAUCUUCUUUAAGUACGAGUUUGUACCCGAUCACGCCAUUCCUAGCCUGUUUGGCUAUAUCAUUGCCUUGAUGAUUUCAAACUGUGCCACCUGGUCCUUAUUCCGGGAGCACCAGUUUCGACGAUGAGCUAAGCUUACGUCGAUCUUCCUCGUCAUACCAUUUCUCCUUGACCAACAAACUUGAUUUCGAGUUUGUGUCGUACCCUUGGUUCCAAUAACCUUUCGCUUCGCCAAUUCCUUUGACUUGUUGACGUCGCCGAUCGAUUACAUCUUCAUGAACUCUCGCGACAAAGGUGUCGUGAUCAUCAACAUUCUGAGCUCAUCCAGGAUAUCAAUUGAAUUCAUGAUGAGAAAUACCAUCCUUGCCCUCGAUGAAUUGUAUUAUCAUCGACCACUUUAUUGCCUUCCCACCAACACAAGCUUGUUCAUGUUUGGUGUUAUACCUUGAGUUCCUUGCUAUCCAGCAAUUGUUCUCUUUACCUUGGAGUAUUACCAUCCCUUAUGUCAAGAAUGUUCUGAGAUUUGUUCCACCUCUUGAGAAUUAUUGACAUAGAAAUACUUCUCACCAUCACCAUUCUUUAUUGGUCCCCGUGUUAAUUCCAACAAGUGAACGGUGUUGUUUGGAUUCUUUCCUUCUAGCAACCCUAUUUUUUUGAAGUUAAUGGUCGAAAGUUCAUUCUUAGACUAUUUGACUAUUGAAUCACCAUUCUGACAUUGGUCGUGCAACCCAACCCAUAUUUCGGGCGCACCUUUCAACCAAUGUUUAAUUGUGUAUGUUUUCCUCGAGCAUACUUCCUUAUAUCAUUUGAUCUGACCAAUGUUAUCUCCUUGUUCACUUAAUUGUGGAGAUCCAUCUUUUGGAUACCUCGUUGAAUUAUCGCUGAGUCCAUCAGCCACCUCAUCAUCCUCUCCUUGGGUUAAUGAUGAACUCUUGUUAACGGAAAUCACUUCAUAGUUCAUUUCCCCGAGAAUCUUACAAUGUCUUCUCGUCUAUUUGUGUCGCACCCUUUUCUUCUCAGGCAUCCUGAGUCUGAGGUAUCAUGACACCAAUCGGAUUUGAAUCUUGGUCAGAUAUGAUGGUUGGGACAUAUUUCCAAGAGUUAUAACAUUGGUAUUUAUAUGACCCGGUAAGGUGGUGUCAUGCCUAGUACACCUGGCCAGAGGACCUAUUGUUAUAGUUUCCUUGUCAGCAAGGCUAUCGAUUCUUCCAUGAGGAAAUUGUAAGACUUAUUCUAUAAGUUGUUCCUGAGGGAUCCUUUGUGAAUCCAAAGUCCGACCUUUGCUUGAAGACCAUGACAAUGCUAUCUCGAAGCAUGUCUGUGGUACUCCGAUUUUCAACAAGAACAUUUAAAGCCCAAUGCUAAAUGUUUCUUGAUCAAUUAUCCAAACACCGCAGUGUGGGUAGUGUCAUAAAAAUUUUCUCCCCUACCUAAAGAGUUUUCUACAUUAUAUCCUGACAUGGAUAUCAUGCUCUGCUUGUCCUUGGGAAGGAUAUACCCUUGAAAUAUGUGGUUAAACAUAAUUUCCUUUCCACUGUUCUGUUUAAUCUGAUGAUCAUAUUUUCCUUCUAUUGUUGGUUUAACCUUUCUUGUGAACUAUAUGAUCUGAGCAGUAAUAUUCUCCUGCUUAUGUAGACACCUCGUUGUACAAUUCUGUCAGUAAGACCCUGUUACUUUUGUUGAUGACAUUCCGGUAACCACCGAUGGACGAGAACUUCGCCUACUGGUCCGCCUCGUUCAACGAGCAGGAAAAUGGUUCUCUUCGUCCCACGCCCUUGGUACCGACAUUGUUGCCGACAUAACUGACAUGCUACUCUCUGACAUGCCUUGCUAUCGUGAUCGUACAAGAUGUCAGCCCCCCCCCUUUCUACUUUUAACCCACGUGGUGGGCCCAUAACCCAUAGGUCCCAGGAUCGAAACCUGACUCUUCUGUACCACCUGUUGUCAAAGUUAUUCCUCGUGCUUGACUUUGUAUGUAAUUCACGGGCCACUUGCCUGUUGAUCUAUUCUGGUAUCGGACACAAUACUUAUUCCCGUUGCUCUGAACCCCUUUCGCACUCUGCUUCAGGCAAUGAACGAUUGCCUAUCCGCUUGAAACUUCUUAUUGCACCGCCUUACUUUGCUCUCGAUAGGUGUAAUUUGUUCAACUCAAGAGAUACUCAUAUGUUCAUUCUUGGGAUACCCCCAGAUGAAUUUCCCUUAUACCAUUCUACCGUUGUAGAGUAGCCCCUUACCUAUUCAUGAGUACGACAUAAUUUUCAAAGAAAGUAGGACGACUUCAUCAUGAUGACCUGAAAAGAAGAGAAAUAAAGACACCAACGAGGAGGAUCAAGUACUUCAGGAAGAGCAACCAAGACCGGGAAGACCCAUUAGAAUUUCGCAACCAAGUCUUUCCCCCUUACUCCCGUCCUAAAUCUCGGGACGAGAUUUCUUGUAGUGGAGGAGAAUUGUGAUGCCCGGGUACUUAAGCUACAGUGAACCUCUACUAACGACGCCACAUCACCUCGGUUACCAUUGAUAAACUCGCGUUGAUUCGAAACCGAAGCAAAUUCAAAUCAAUAAUCAGGUCAAACAAUAAAAAAUUUGCCAAUAUCAAAACUGAAAUGUUCUGGAUAUGACAAGUAAUUCAUAGGUAAUAAUGGUGGAGAAACCACAUUUUUAUAAAAUGCCUAAAUGCUCUAAAAUAAAUAAAACAGCAGCAAAAACAAUUAAUUAAAUGCCUUUUAUAAAGUUAUAAAAAUAUAAACUUAUAUUUGGAGUGUCAACCUUUUUGUGACAGCACCUAUUAUUGCAAUACUAAUUAGGUGUCCAUCUCCACAUUUUACAAAACAAAUUUGCUAAUUGGAUUAAGUGCAAAACAUAGACUAGAAAAAGUUAAAAGAAGAAAAAGGAAAUGCCAAAAAAUAAAAUAAAUAAAUAAAAGAAAACCCCCCUUUCCCUGUUCUCGUGGGCCUCGGCCCACCCGAGCCAACCCACACAACUGAGGGGAUAAGGCCAACCCCCCGUCUCUCAGCCUCGUCAGCAUCUCAGAUAUUUUCCCUCCCCCUCGCUUGUUCCCCUCUCGCUCGCGCGCUCGCUCCUCCCCGAACGCUGCAGUCGCCGUGCACCCCGAGAUCCUGUGGCCACCGUCGCCCUCAUGCCUGAGGGGUUGACCCCGAGAAGCGCCGUCGUCUACCGCAUCGUCUACAAGGACUAGCUCGAGCUCCUCGCCCCUGCAUCGAGCUGUUCGCCGUCGUCUUCAACCUUGCACCCGUCGGCGACCUCCGUCGGAUUCGUCGUCACCGAGCCCUCCUCGAGCACACUCGGCUUCUCUCCAAGUCCGAUGUGAGCCCCACCGUCCUUCCCCUCCCUUUUCCGCUAUCGUAUUCCUCGCCGUAGAACCGUCCCCGCCCGAGGCCGCCAUGGACGGGAGCGAAGCUCCUGUGUGCGCCCGCGCGAUGUUGCUGCUGCUGUCGCCAGGCCAUGCCUCGCCUCUGGUCGCGCCCCUCGCUGACCAUCGAUUCCCCGCGCGCCGGCAAGCCCUCUAGCCGCCUGCUACCUUCACCUCUGCUGCCGCCGCUACUUCUGCUCCGCGUGCUGCCGUCUCUACUAUGGCCCCGCUGCCGCGCGUCGUCCGCCCUGGCUCCGUCCGGCGCGCCCGCCUCAGGCCUCCAUGCCGCCUACCCUGCUCGCCGGUGGCGGCGCUGGCCAAGUCCAGCCGCGGCUGGCAAGAGCCACCACCGAGUCGGGCCAGCCCCUGAUUAGUUUAGGGCUUAAUCCCCCUUCCCCACUAAUCUGUUGCUAACAACCGAGACCCACCACUAAUAAAAACUAAUUAAAUCCAUUUGUUAAAAUAAUGUGACCCAAUGACAGGUAGCCCCCACCUCUAAAUAUCUUUUUUUAAGAAUGUGUUAAAACUGUAAGUAUGACACCUGGGCCCCCACUGGCCCGCUUUGACCAGUCAACUGGGACUGUUGACUGGUGACUCAGCAGUCAACAGGUCCCACCUAUCAUAGACACCCACACACUGCUGGGUACACUUACGUGUACCCAUAGCAGUUAUGUAUUUAAUAUUUUUAAAUUAAAAAGAAUUCCAGGAAUUGCAGAAUAUUAAUAAAACUUCAAAAAUUAAUAUAAAAUAAACCGUAUCUCGGAUGAAAAAGUUUUAUAUAUGAAAGUUGCUCUAAACAACGAGACGAAUCCGGAUACGCAGUCCGUUCGUCCGCCACACCCCCCUAACCUAUCGAACCUGCAACUUUCCCCCUCCGGCUCCUCUGCCCGAAAACAUGAAACACCGGGAAUACUUUCCCGGAUGAUUCCCCCCUUAACCAGUACCACCUCAUACCGCGCUAGAACACGUCUAGCUCUGCUUGUUGACCUGUUAUGCACUUGCUUGCUAUGUAUUUACUGUUUCUCCCCCCUCUUCUCUCCGGUAGCCCCCGUGACGAUGCUGAUGCCCCUGUGGACGACUACGUCACCGACGACCCCUCUCUCUUGCCAGAGCAACCAGGCAAGCCUCCCCUUUGAUCACCAGAUAUCGCCUACUCUUCUCUAUACUGCUUGCAUUAGAGUAGUGUAGCAUGUUACUGCCUUCAGUUAAUCCUAUACUGCUGCAUAGCCUGUCCUUGCUACUACUGUUGUUACCUUUACCUGCUAUCUUACUGCUUAGUAUAGGAUGCUAGUGUUCCAUCAGUGGCCCUACACUCUUGUCCGUCUGCCAUGCUAUACUACUGGGCUGUGAUCACUUCGGGAGGUGAUCACGGGCAUAUACUAUAUACUUUACACUGUUACAUUACCUGUGAUACUGUUCGGAGUUGGGGGCUGAAAGGACAGGUGGCUCCAUCCCGGUAGAGGUGGGCCUGGGUUCCCGACGGCCCCCGACUGUUACUUUGUGGCGGAGCGGGAGGGCAGGUUGAGACCACCUAGGAGACAGGUGGGCCUGGCCCUGUUCGGCGUUCGCGGAUACUUAACACGCUUAACGAGAUCUUGGUAUUUGAUCUGAGUCGGCUACGAGCCUAUACGCACUAACCAUCUACGUGGGAGUAGUUAUGGGUAUCCCGACGUCGUGGUAUCAGCCGAAGCACUUCAGACGUCAGCGACGGAGCGGCGCGCGCCGAAUUGGAACGUAAGCCUGCUCUUGUAUUAAGGGGGCUAGUUCUGCUUUCGGCCGCGUACGCAACGUGCAGGUGUGCUAUGGGCGAUGGGCCCAGACCCCUGUGCGCUUAGGUUUAGACCGGCGUGCUGGCCUCUCUGUUUUGCCUAGGUGGGGCUGCGACGUGUUGAUCUUCCGAGGCCGGGCAUGACCCAAGAAAGUGUGUCCGGCCAAAUGGGAUCGAGCGUGUUGGGCUAUGUGGUGCACCCCUGCAGGGAAGUUAAUCUAUUCGAAUAGCCGUGAUCUUCGGUAACAGGACGACUUGGAGUUGUACCUUGACCUUAUGACAACUAGAACCGGAUACUUAAUAAAACACACCCUUCCAAGUUCCACAGACAAUCCGGUGAUCGCUUUUCCGCAGGGCGACGAGGAGAGGAUUGCCGGGUAGGAUUAUGCUAUGCGAUGCUACUGGAGAUGCUACUUGGAGAUGCUACUUGGAGAUGCUACUUGGGGGACUCAAUCUACUCUCUUCUACAUGCUGCAAGACGGAGGCUACCAGAAGCGUAGUCUUCGACAGGAUUAGCUAUCCCCCUCUUAUUCUGGCAUUCUGCAGUUCAGUCCACCGAUAUGGCCCUUUACACAUAUACCCAUGCAUAUGUAGUGUAGCUCCUUGCUUGCGAGUACUUUAGAUGAGUACUCACGGUUGCUUUUCUCCCUCUUUUCCCCUUUCCCUUCUACCUGGUUGUCGCAACCAGAUGCUGGAGCCCUGGAGCCAGACGCCACCGUCGACGAUGAUUCCUACUACACUGGAGGUGCCUACUACUACGUGCAGGCCGCUGACGACGACCAGGAGUAGUUAGGAGGAUCCCAGGCAGGAGGCCUGCGCCUCUUUCGAUCUGUAUCCCAGUUUGUGCUAGCCAUCUUAUGGCAACUUGUUUAACUUAUGUCUGUACUCAGAUAUUGUUGCUUCCGCUGACUCGUCUAUGAUCGAGCACUUGAAUUCGAGCCCUCGAGGCCCCUGGCUUGUAUUAUGAUGCUUGUAUGACUUAUUUUAUUUGUAAAGUUGUGUUGUGAUAUCUUCCCGUGAGUCCCUGAUCUUGAUCGUACACCUUUGCGUGUAUGAUUAGUGUACGGUCAAAUCGGGGGUGUCACAUUGGCCUAAGUUGGUCUAUGCCCAAGGGCUACUCUCCCCGGUGUACUGAGAAGUGUCAUCUGGACACCACUGGCUAGCGCUCUCCUCCGGAUCCCACUGAUAACAUGAUGGACGAUAAGGGUCCAAUGGUGGUUCCGGCUCAGGCUCUGGGGCUGAUGUCUGGCCUCGGUAUGCGUACACGGCCUUCGGCAAGACGAGGUAAUGGCCUGCAGUUAAAUCAAACAAAGAAGGCGCAGGCAAGGUAAUAAUCUCAUUGUGUUUCUUAGGUAUUCCACCCUUAAAAGUGUAAUUAGCAAGCAUGGUGGAAAUCUCAGCUUUCGGUAUCUUUCUUUUAUUCAUAAUGAUAUCCUUCAUAUAUUUAGCAUAAGGAUUUACUUUAAGCAUAUCAGUUAAGCGCAUACGUAAGAAGAUAGGUCUAAUCAUUUCAGCAAAGCGCUCAAAAUCCUCAUCAUCCUUUUUUUGGAUGGCUUAGGAGGAAAAGGCAUGGGUUUCUAAACCCAUGGUUCUCUUUCUUUACCGUGCUUCCUAGCAACAAAGUCUCUUUUAUCAUAGCGUUGAUUCUUUGAUUGUGGGUUAUCAAGAUCAACAGCAGGUUCAAUCUCUACUUCAUUAUUAUUGCUAGGUUGAGCAUCAACAUGAACAUUAUCAUUAACAUUAUCACUAGGUUCAUGUUCAUCACCUGAUUGUGUUUCAGCAUCAGAAAUAGAUAUAUCAUUGGGGUUCUUAGGUGUGUCUACAACAGGUUCACUAGAAGCAUGCAAAGUCCUAUCGUUUUUCUUUUUCUUCUUUUUAGAAGGACUAGGUGCAUCCAAAUUAUUCCUCUGAGAAUCUUGCUCAAUUCUCUUAGGGUGGCCUUCAGGAUACAAAGGUUCCUGAGUCAUUCUACCAGUUCUAGUAGCCACUCUAACAGCAAAAUAAUGUUUAUUAUUUAAUUCAUCAAGCAAAUCAUUUUGAGCUUUAAGUACUUGUUCAGCUUGAGUGGUAACCAUAGAAGCAUAUUUGCUAAUGAGUUUAAGUUCAUCUUUAACUCUAGCCAUAUAAUCACUCAAGCGUCCAAUCAUGUGAGCAUUACUAUUUAAUUCUCUACCAACAUAAGCAUUAAAACUUUCUUGCCUAGCCAUAAAGUCAUCAAAUUCAUCUAAGCAUUGGCUAGGAAAUUUAGUAGACGGGAUUUCAACUUUAUCAUAUCUAUAGAGAGAAUUUACCUUUACAACCUGUGUCGGGUUAUCAAGACAAUGUGUUUCUUCAACAGGCGGUAUAUUAAGACCAUGUAUUUCUUCAAUAGGAGGUAAAUUCUUAACAUCUUCAGCUUUAAUACCUUUUUCUUUCAUAGAUUUCUUUGCCUCUUGCAUAUCUUCAGGACUGAGAAAUAGAACACCCCUCUUCUUUGGAGUUGGUUUCAGAAUAGGUUCAGGAGUUGUCUCAAUUGGCUCAGGAGUUGCCUCAGGAAUUGGCUCAGGAAGAGUCCAAUUAUUUUCAUUAGUCAACAUAUUAUUCGGUAGCAAUUCAGCUUGGUCGACUGUUCUUUCCCUAAAAACACAACCAACACAACUAUCCAAGUGGUCCUUGGAAGCAUCGGUUAGUCCAUUAUAAAAGAUAUCAAGUAUUUCAUUUUUCUUAAGAGGAUGAUCAGGCAAAGCAUUAAGUAAUCAAAGAAGCCUCCCCCAAGCUUGUGGGAGACUCUCUUCUUCGAUUUGCACAAAAUUAUAUAUUUCCCUCAAGGCAGCUUGUUUCUUAUGAGCAGGGAAAUGUUUAGCAGAGAAGUAAUAAAUCAUAUCCUGGGGACUACGCACACAACCAGGAUCAAGAGAAUUAAACCAAGUUUUAGCAUCACACUUUAAUGAGAACAGAAAUAUCUUAAGGAUAUAAUAGUAGUGAGAUUUCUCAUCAUUAGUGAACAGGGUGGCUAUAUCAUUUAACUUAGUAAGGUGUGCCACAACAGUUUCAGAUUCAUAGGCAUAAAAAGGAUCAGAUUCAACCAAAGUAAUAAUUUUAGGGUCGACAGAGAAUUCAUAAUCCUUAUCAGUAACAAAGAUAGGUGAAGUUGCAAAAGCAGGGUCAUAUUUCAUUCUAGUAUUCAGAGUUUCUUGUUUAAGUUUAGCUAAUAACUUCUUAAGAUCAGAUCUAUCAUUGCGAGCAAGAAAAUAUCUAGCAGUUUCUUCAUCCAUAACAUAACCCUCAGGAACAACAUGCAAUUCAUACUUAGGGGGAGAACCUUCAUCAUCACUAUCUUCAAUAAUAUCAUCUUCAAUAAUUUCAUUCUCUCUAACCCUAGCAAGUUGUUCAUCAAGAAAUUCACCUAAUGGCACAGUAGUAUCAAGCAUAGAAGUAGUUUCAUCAUAAGUAUCAUGCAUAGCAGAAGUGGCAUCAUCAAUAACAUGCGACAUAUCAGAAUUCAUAGCAGUAGCAGGUUUAGGUGUCGCAAGCUUACUCAUAACAGAAGGAGAAUCUAGUGCAGAGCUAGAUGGCAGUUCCUUAACUCCCCUCGUAGUUGAGGGAAAAAUCUUAGUUCUUUCGUCUUUCAAGUUCUUCAUAGUGAUCAGCAGAUAUAAAUCCCAAGUGACUCAAAGAAUAGAGCUAUGCUCCCUGGAAACGGCGCCAGAAAAUAGUCUUGAUAACCCACAAGUAUAGGGGAUCGGAACAGUUUUCGAGGGUAGAGUAUUCAACCCAAAUUUAUUGAUUCGACACAAGGGGAGCCAAAGAAUAUUCUCAAGUAUUAGCAGUUGAGUUGUCAAUUCAACCACACAUGGAUAACUUAAUAUUUGCAGCAAAGUAUUUAGUAGCAAAUUAGUAUGAUAGUAAUGGUAACAGUGGUAAAAGUAACGGUAGCAGUUUUGUAGUGAUUGUAACAGUAGCAACGGAAAAGUAAAUAAGCAAAGCACAAUAUGUGAAAAGCUCAUAGGCUUUGGAUCAGUGAUGGAUAAUUAUGUCGGAUGCGAUUCCUCAUGUAAUAGCUAUAACAUAGGGUGACACAGAACUAGCUCCAAUUCAUCAAUGUAAUGUAGGCAUGUAUUCCGAAUAUAGUCAUACGUGCUUAUGGAAAAGAACUUGCAUGACAUCUUUUGUCCUACCCUCCCGUGGCAGCGGGGUCCUAGUGGAAACUAAGGGAUAUUAAUGCCUCCUUUUAAUAGAGUGCCGGACCAAAGCAUUAACACAUAGUGAAUACAUGAACUCCUUAAACUACGGUCAUCACCUGGAAGUAUCCCAAUUAUUGUCACUUCGGGGUUGUCGGAUCAUAACACAUAAUAGGUGACUAUAGACUUGCAAGAUAGGAUCAAGAACUCACAUAUAUUCAUGAAAACAUCGGGCCCUAGUGACAAGCAUUAAGCAUAGCAAAGUCGUAGCAACAUCAAUCUCAGAACAUAGUGGAUACUAGGGAUCAAACCCUAACAAAACUAACUUGAUUACAUGGUAAAUCUCAUCCAACCCAUCACCGUCCAGCAAGCCUACGAUGGAAUUACUCACGCACGGCAGUGAGCAUCAUGAAAUUGGUGAUGGAGGAUGGUUGAUGAUGACGACGGCGAUGAAUCCCCCUCUUCGUAGCCCCGAACGAACUCCAGAUCAGUCCUCCCGAGAGAGAUUAGGGCUUGGCGGCGGCUCCGUAUUGUAAAACGCGAUGAAAUUUUCUCUCUGAUUUUUUUCUCCGCGAAACGGAAUAUAUGGAGUUGGAGUUGAGGUCGGUGGGGCUCCAGGGGGCCCACGAGACAGGGGGCGUGCCCCCCACCCUCGUGGACAGUGUGUGGGCCCCCUGGCCUUGAUUCUUUCGCCAGUAUUUUUUAUAUUUUCCAAAAGUUAUCUCCGUGAAUUUGUAGGUCAUUCCGAGAACUUUUGUUUUCUGCACAAUAGACAACACCAUGGUAGUUCUGCUGAAAACAGCGUCAGUCCAGGUUAGUUCCAUUCAAAUCAUGCAAGUUAGAGUCCAAAACAAGGGCAAAAGUGUUUGGAAAAGUAGAUACGUUGGAGACUAUCAUUAGGCCUCUUCCAGAAGUGAUAUUGUUGCUGAUGGUAAGAGCCAUCAAUCCUUCAAUCGACAACACAAAGGAAUUCUCAAUGAAAGCACCAAUGUCAGUGUCAAAACCGGUAGAUCUCGGGUAGAGGGUCCCGAACUGUGCGUCUGAGGAUUGAUGGUAACAGGGGAUGAUAGGGACACAGUGUUUACCCAUGUUCGGGCCCUCUUAAAGGAGGUAAAACCCUACAUCCUGCUUGAUUGUAUUCAAUGAGUAUAGGGGUUACAAGAGUUGAUCUACCUUGAGAUCGUAAUGGCUAAACCCUAGAUGUCUAGCCUAUGGGAAUUCUCAUAGCAUCUACGGAUUAAACCCUCUGGUUUAUAUACACACUGGAGGGGCCUAGGGUUGUACAAAGUCGGUUUGCAGAGGAAGGAAAUAAUACAUCCGGACACAAAAAACUUGCCAUUCAUUCAUAUUGGAGUCCUACCUGGACACGGGGGAUAAUCUUCGGCUUUAAUCUUCACGGUCCAUCAGUCCGGCCCAUAUUGAAUAUACUGGGCACCCGAGGACCCCCUAAUCCAGGACUCCCUCACAUUGCACACCCAAUGUCAUGGCCCUCGACGAAGCCGCUGCCCCACUCCUUGUCACGCGUGUAGUAGAGGAACUGAUCGCUGGCGUUGAGGAACUCUUGACUUGGACUAGAGGGAGGGGAGAAGACCAUUGAAUGGGGCUAAUUAUCCCCACCCCAGCCACGUCUGAUGCCCCUCGCCGCAUCCUAUGUACUCCACGCCACCCACUACUAGGAAAAGGGCUAUAGAUAAUAUGGACAUUAAUGCGGUGCGCCACUGCUAUAUAGCAGUGGCGCACCAUAUAUAGGUACGCCAUUAAACUCUAAAUACUAAUGGCGCACCACAUCCACGAUGCGUCACUACUAACGAAAUUUUUUUUAUUUUUUUUUAAAACUAGUAAUGGCGCACCGUGGGUGUGGUGCGCCAUUACCUUUUCAGUUUUAAAAAAAUAAAAGAAAAUGAUGGAAAUGUCAAAAAAAUAAAAGAAAAUAAGUUUUCCAUGUGAUAUGUGGUCUACUUGUUGGGAAAAUUUACAAAUAUGAAUUUCGACUUUAUUUGCAAAAUCUCUCUGGAAUUUGUAAAAUGGGCAUAACUUUUGCAUACGAACUCGGAUUAAAAAGUUUUUUAUAUGAACAAUCAUCUACUCGAAAAGUUACAUUUGAAUUGGACUGGGGGAACUUUGUUCAAGAUUUUCAGAAUCUCCAAAAACCUAACGGAAUAAAAGAUACGGGGUUUUAAGAUCUAGAGGGGGGGAAAUGGAAAAAAAUCAAACUUACUAGUGGCGCACCAUUUGCUAGGUGCGCCAUUAGUAACAGGAAAAAAAAUUGGUUUUGGAAAAAAAUUGGAAUUUUUUUCAAAAAAUGAUACGUAAUAUGACCGGGAAGUUUGAAAUAUUUUUCAAAAUUUCACCAUACUCAUGAACAUGAACAAAGACCUAGGCAUCAAGAAGGUUUAAUAGGAUUGAUAUGAUAGAUAUAUCAACAAGUGCCUGUUAAGUGAGGUGGUGCUGGGGUUGGAUAGAACUGCGAAGUUAUGGCGCACCAGGGGUGCGUUAUUAGUAUUAAUUACUAGUGGCGUGAUGCUAGUGGCGCAUCUGUAGUGCGACAUUAAUGGCCAAAACAGGUGCGCCACUAGUAGGCCUUUUCCUAGUAGUGACCAUAGUUGCCGAUGAACUGCCGGCAACAACCUCACUGUACCCAGCCGGCGGUUCAAUGGCCACAACCGCAUCUGUACGAGGCAGAAGGGGGAUAACGACCUGAUAGUGUCCAAGAGCUAUGAAUGUAUGAAAGUUCCCAACUAACGUGGAAACAUGAAGCAUAUGAAAACUCACUAUAUGACAAUGUAAUGUGCUACUUUGAAGCACAUAUGUAUGCAAAAAGGAUAGUAGUGUCCCCCUUUAUUUUAUUCUUCUUUUUAUCUUUUUUUUCUUCCAUUCCCUUUCUUUUUUCAUUAGCGCAUUGGCUUUUUUUUAUUCCUCACAAGGUAGGCAACACUCUAAUACAAUGAUAUGCACUCAUAACUCAACUCGUAAUAAAGACGAUGCAAACUGGAUGACUCUGGCAGUGCACCAGUAUGUGCAAUCAUCUAUAGGGCAGCCGAUUGGCAUGAUCGGCAGACGAAUCCUAGCUACGGGUUGUGCAACCCUCGGUGGAGAUCAUGGAGAUUGACCGUGGAGUAGCGCCAUGCAGAAGUUAUGGUGGAGCUAGGUCAGCAACUUGUGGCAGGUACCAUGUAAGAGGAUUAGGGGAGAGAGAAUUUGUGGAAUCAUUUUAUGUAUUACUAAUCCUCAAGGAUUAAUAUAUACUCCCUCCAUUUUUAAAUAUUUGUCUUUCUAGAGAUUUUGACUACAUACGGAGUAAAAUGAGUGAAUCUAUACUCUAAAAUAUGUCUAUAUACAUCCGUAUGUAGUAGUCCAUUUGAAAUCUCUAAAAAGACAAAUAUUUAGGAACGGAGGAAGUAGAGUACAAGACUUGAAGGCCAAGAAGUGUCUCCUAAUGAUACGGUAGGAAUCGUAUAUAAAAGAUUACAAUCAAUCUCAACAAAUCGUAAACUACACCUACACUUUAACCCGUGAGACAGUCAUGUAAGCAUGCACCUCCUCCUUUUACGGGCAUAUGAAACUUGCGCAUUGCAUUUUGGUCGGUUGACUCAAUUGACUGUAGGAGGAGGUGCGCGAGGUACCACAUGAAAGGUGACAAGGCAUGCGCAUUAGAGAAGUUCAUCGAUAACAUGCUGGCUAAUUUUUUUAAAAUAAUACAUUUUUCUUAAUAAAUUUGAGAAAUAUUACGCCGUUUAGAUUUAUUUCAAAAAUAAUACGGCAUUGGUCUCCGGGAAGCCGACUGGCUUCCAGUCGGCCACCAGUAAGACGAGUGGCCCAAUCGGCCACCGGUAAGCUAGUGGCCAGUCGGCCAGGUGCGCAUGCAGUCAGCCGGGUGCGCAUGCAAUCGGCCAGGGGUAGCCGAUAAGUGGCUAAAUGCCUCGAUGGAUGGACUGACGGGUGCAGGUGCAAGUGCUCGUGCUCCUGCUCACGGCCAGCUACAAUGCGCUCGUGCUCCCGCUCAUCCGAGUGGCUAUAUAUCUCAUCCGGGUGAUUACCACCUGCAGCACAGCCAGCUUCAAUGUGCUCGUGCUCCCGCUCAUGCCGCAUGGCAGCCUCGAGGCGCACCUCUACCCGCACAACGACGGCGGCGGCGGCGGCGGCAGACUAGGCUUCGGGCGGCUCGUGGGCAUCGCAAGCGACGUGGCCGAGGGGAUGGCCUACCUGCACCACUACGCGCCGGUGAGGGUCGUGCACUGCGACCUCAAGCCGAGCAACACUCUCCUCGACGACGGAAUGUGCGCCGUGAUCUCCGACUUCGGUAUCGCGUGGCUCGUCGUCGGCGCCGAAGCCACCAGCAACACGAGCGACGACGACUCCACCGCUCCAUGCAACUCCAUCGCCGCCGGAUUGUUGCAGGGUUCGGUUGGCUACAUGGCAGCUAGUAUGUGACACACACAUAAGUUUGUGCAUGCAUGCAUUCAUGCUCGAUGUGGCAUUGAUUAUCGGGAAGCGGGAGUGGGAGCACGAGCGCGUUGAAGCUGGCCAUGCAGCAUGAGCGGGAGCACGAGCACUUGCACCCAUCCGUCCCACUUAUCGGCUACCCCGAAGCCGAUAGGCAGCCUGUCGGCUACCCCCUGGCUGACUGCAUGCGCACCUGGCCUGACUGGCCACUACUCGGCUUACCGGUGGCCGAUUGGGCCUACUCGACUUACCGGUGGCCGACUGGAAGCCAAUCGGCUUCCCGACCGCCGAUGCCGUAUUAUUUUUGAAAUAAAUCUAUUUCUUAAAUUUAUUAAGGAAAAUGUAUUAUUUAAAAAAAAUAGCAACAUGCUGAGGGUCCCGGACAAUAUGGUCCGAGCCACAAGGUGGAUAUGGUAGGCCAUGGCCCACCCUGGAGUUUUGAGUGGCCUAUAUACAAUAUGUGAUUAGUUGGACCUAGGAAAAAUAAAAGCCCAACAUGCUCUCCCAAUCCAUCUAUGGCUAGCAAGAAAAAAGGGUGAUCCCUAUUCUGUGCGUAACGACCUACUAUGUACCCUCCCCCGUGCUGCCCAAUCAAGUUUUUUCUCCCCACUAGUUUUGGGAAGGUCCUAGAACCUUCCUUGAACCACUGUUCUUUUUCCCUUGUUUUUUCUUUUGGUUUUUUUAUGUUUUCCUUUUUUUCUCAAAUCUAUGAACUUUUUUAAAAAUCACGCACAUUUUUUAAAUUCACGAGUAAAUUUUAAAUUUGUCUACUUUUUGAAUACAUGAACAAUUUUCAAAUUCAUGAAUAUAUUGAAAUUUGAGAAUUUAAUGUUUGUGAAUAUUUUUAAAUUUGUAAACAUUUUUUAUAUUUGACGAGCAUUGUUCAAAAUUGCGAACAUUUUUUUGGAUUAGCAACUAUUUUUUAAUUAUGAUUUUUUUGCAAAAUAACAAACAUUUUUCGAAUUCAUUAUUUUUUAUGAAUUUUUGAAAAGUUUUCGAAUUCAUGAACAUUUUUUAAUUCACCAACUUAUUUUGAAUACAUGAAUAAUUUUUGUAUCAAUGAUAUUUAUGUAUUCUUGAACUUUUUCGAAUUUAGAACAAUUUUAAAAUUCAUGAAUAAUUUUUGAAAUCCUGAACAAAUUUUCAAACUCAUGAAAAUUUUAUUAAAUUCUGUUUUUUAAAAAAUUGGAAUAAUUUUCAAUUUUGUGAAGAGUUUUUGAAAUCACCUACAUUUCUUUUCGAAUUUGAGAUUCGUGAACAGUUCUUGAAUUAAAAGAAACAAGAAAAAAGAAAAAAAAGAAAAACAAAAUAAAAUAGGGAAAACUUUGUUUUUGCCACUCUGGUUAUUGCCAAUUUUGCUUAUGCCACUAUAGAAUUUGAAAUUUCACUUUUGCUACUCUUAGCUUUUGACAAUAUAUCACUUUUGCCAUUCCGUGGCAAAAGCAAAAUUUUCAGAGUGGCAAUUAUGAUACAUUGUCAAAAGCUAAGAGUGACAAAAGUGAAAUGAAAAAUUAUCGUUUUUGCCAUGGAAUGGCAUUUGUAAUGUAUCGUCAAAAGUUAAGAGUGGCAAAAGUGAGACGUCAAAUUCUAGAGUGGCAUAAGCAAAACUAGUACAAAUGCCCGUGCGUUGCACCGGGCAAAAAAAAAGAGGAACAACCAGCUUCAUAUUCCAUUGUGCACCAUUUUAUAUAUCUAAUUUUAUUAAACAUCGAUAAUAAUAAGGUAGAACUGAUUAUUACUUUUUGUAGAAUCAAGUCUUCAUCAGAUGGAAGAGCAGUUUUGCAUGAAUAGUUCGUCAAUCAUUUUUUGGCUUUUCUGGAAAACAUGAAAGUUUCCUUAUUUUUAAUAGAAGUUAAGGUUUACAUAAAAACUGGAACACUUCUUUUAAGAAUAAUGAACAUUUAAAAAACGCAUUUUAACAGGUGUUUUUUGUUUAAAGAAUGUUUUGAUUUUUUUUGUACAUUUCCAAAUGAUUUUUUUUAGUAAAAAUGAAAAAAAUUCUUGGAAAUUUUUAUGAUUUUUAAAAAAUUGCAAAAAUAUUUUUUUGAAACAAAAACAGUGUGAACAUGUGUAAAACUAUGAACAUUUCUAAACGAAUUUCUUCAGUAAACAAUUUUGAAAAAGUGCAAACAUAUUUUUUUGAAACAAAAAUAGUGUGAACAUGUGUAAAACUGUGAACAUUUCUAAACUAAUUUCUUCAGUAAACAAAUUAAACUGGCCACAUGCAAGGUCGGGUUCUGUGCUCUACAUACAAUUAUAAAUCGAACAAAUUGAUCUUAAGAUUACUAAGUAAAACCAAGUAUCACAGUAAGAAGAAGACACCAAUGAGUAAUUGGAAUGUAUCAAGUCCUGAAAAAAUCAUCUUAGGUGUUUUACAGUUAGUCAGCGGACACAUGACCACCAGCACAGCACUACCCAUUUUCUGAUCAAUUGUUUCGUCCAAGCACCAUCAGCUGCUCAUUACGGACAGUCCAAGAGCAUUAAAGCAACCAUUGAAGCAAAGCGGCAACAAGCUAAGUCUUCGGCUGAUCUCCAGCAACAUAGGUGGCAAGGUGGCGUCAGUGAAGGUCAAGUUAAGCCUGACGAACAUGUCCUUCAGGUUGUACGGCGUGUGUCGUUCCUGUGUGCCGGCACGCCAAAGAGUUCCCGCCCAUCUCGCCGAUGGUCGUACAUAGGGUGGCGGGAGGGCAUCGCUGCGAGCCACCGUGGUGGUCGGUGUCGACCUGGUUGCUGAGACACCAAAGUGCCUGUCAAUUGUUAACGACGCCGAAGUGCCUGUCAAUAAAAUUUACUGGAAAUACCAGUCUAUAUAGCUCAACAUCAGGAGAUGCAGGACCACAUGAUAUAUUGGGUCUUUAACAGAAUCAAAUACAUGGUCAGAGUGUUCCUGAGAUUGAUGGUUUUUCAAAUCAGUUUCUGCUAUUGUAUAAGUUAGCCAUGAACAAGGUUUGCUAUUCUAUAAGUUAGCCAUGAACCAGAUUUGCUAUUCUAUAAGUUAGCCAUGAACAAGGUUUAUACCAAUAAUUCUGGAAAAUAACAAUAAUAAGAACACCACUGCAGCUAGUAAAAAAAUCAUGACAAGAUAUAGACGGAAAGAAUGCUUAGUACAGAUGCAAUUAAAGGGUUUGCUUUCAGUCAAGGAAUAUAGCAUUACGUCAAUAGCAAAACGUGAUUAUAUUACAGCCUUGUCAGCAAAUUGAGAAAUAUUGGGCAUCUCAAUUCCU